Non-coding RNA from Triticum aestivum (bread wheat), 69 nucleotides. The record is from Rfam. NCBI's taxonomy places the organism in Eukaryota, Viridiplantae, Streptophyta, Magnoliopsida, Poales, Poaceae.
UCCACUACUCAGUUGGUAGAGUUCAAAGCUCUUAACCUUGUGGAUGUGGGUUCAAGCCCCAUGGUGGAG